RNAcentral lists this long non-coding RNA (1311 nucleotides) under Olea europaea subsp. europaea. The record is from RNAcentral. Lineage: Eukaryota; Viridiplantae; Streptophyta; Magnoliopsida; Lamiales; Oleaceae.
CGCAAAUUCAUCUAAUUUGAAAAAUGGCGAUCAGAUGUUUAAAAUGACAAUAUGCUGUUUCGAUCAUGGGAUUUACACUUCACUGCAAAAUAAAUAUUUGAAAAUCAUAGAUAACUUGUCUGAGCAAAAAUGAUAUAAACUGAACACUGAGUUAAAAAAAUGGCAGUCAUACAACUAAAAUUCACGUGAAAUAGGUCGAUUUCAGCAUGGGUCGAUUUCAGUACGAAACGUGCUAUGUCUUUGCAGACAAGUUGAACAAAAAGUAUGGAUAUAGACUAAUUUACCAACCUGGCUUAUUAAGCAAAUCCCUUUUUCUUUUCCUUUUUCCUUUUUUCUUUUAUUUUUAUAUCUUCUGGAAAAGAACAAAUUAGGGAAAACCUCUUAAAAUCUAGAGUGAUUUUUUAUUGUUAAAUUGGAUGGAACCGCGUGUGGGGAAUAAAUUCCAGCUCGGACGAAAAAUUGGCAGCGGCUCGUUCGGAGAAAUCUAUCUAGGUCUGUUUCUUUUCUUUUCUUUUCUUUUUGUGAUUAUGGUCUUUGAUUAUUCAGUUUGUUUGAUAUAAUUGGCGUAAUUUUUUUAAUUUGUUUUGUAUGUGGCAGGUACUAAUAUACAGACAAAUGAACAGGUUGCCAUUAAGCUGGUGAGCAAAUUGAAAUAAAUAGGUUUUUGUGAAAAUUUUAUUUCCUUAAAUUUGGGAAUAUUUUGUUUCUCUGAACUAUUUACUAAUUGUGCAUUUCUUUGAAUUCGACUUACUGUAGAGAUAUAAUUAAGAAAUUAAGGAUGAUCGACUCUCAUUUCGAUUAUGUUUCCGUAGUUGUGUAAUGGUGUUAGUGAUUUAGAACUAUUCCUUGAUGAGUUUGAUAGUGAUGUUUAUUGUUUAUACUAAUUAAAAAAUAGGUUGAAAGAAAAUUAUACGGUGAUAUGUAAUCUUAUUUCUUAAUUUAUAUAGAUCAAGAGUGGGAGAAUAGAAAUAUAUUUGUAAAAGGAACCUGUUGAAGUCCCAUUCGUGUGAAGUUUUUGUAGGGUAGACUGGAUGCAGUUUCAUACCAUGCAAUUGAAGGUUCUUUUCCAUAUAUAUGAUUUACAUAUCAAGCUUUUGCUGUCAUUAUAUAUGUUAUGUCACUUGGCUGAUUCAUCUUAGUUUAGGUACUUAAAAGCAGGCUGUGGAGGCAGAAAGCUGUUCUUGUAAGCUUUUGAAGUUCUGCUUGGGUAAUAAUAAUACGUGCUGAUUAGAUUCCCAUAUUGUUGUGGCCUAGUUAUCCCUAGUCAGUACAUUGCUAAAGCGCAGUUCGAUACCAACUAUGGGUUUGUUU